GCAGACAACAGAUCUGUGUAUUUGGGCUUAUAGUUUCAGAUGUUACAGUUUACAUUCAGCUGGCUCCAUUGUUUGUGGGCUAUGAUGAGAUGGAAGGUCACAAUGGAAGAACAUAUGAGGAGGGCACAGCUGUUCACUUCCUGGGUGCCCAAAGCAUCCAUCAACAAGACAUAGCCACCAAGAACACACUCCAGUGACUUGCUUCCUCCAAGCUGGCCCCACCUUCUAAGUUUCCAGCAUUCCUGAUGAUAUCCUAUUACAAAUCCAUAAAUGGAUACACCCACUGAUGAAUGUGGAGUCUCUGUGGCUCAAUCAACUUUCAGUGGCAUCAGAAGCUAGAGGGAGAGUUUUACAAAUAAGCCUUUUGGACAGUGGGAAGGAAGGGUGUCACCUGAAAUCUAAAGUGGAACAUUUCCUAAAAGUUCAUUGUUCUCCAUUCCCCAAGAGGAAUUCCUUCCUGAUAAUGAACAGUGGAAUAAGAUAAUCCAGCAUUGAAGAUAGGAAGUUUGUCACCCUUUUAAGUACCCAAGAACUGAUUAUUCCCAAAUUUGACGGAGUAUUGCUUUUGAUUUGGCAAGCAUGGUUUUCAUCAAUGGGCUCCCCUAAGUCUGACCUCAUCUACUUUGCUGCAAUUCUUUUUUCCCUUGGGUUCUCAGAGCAACAUGGUCUAGGAGAACUUUGCUUGCCAAAUGUAAGUAUACUCUUUCAGCAAGGAUGUUCUAUCUCCCGAUAGCCUCGUGAGGACAUUAAUGGACACAUGCCAAAGAACAUGCAUUAUGAUUCCUGCAAGCUUGAACAUGGUCACUAGAUAGCAAUCUUAAGUUAGACCAGCACAGAUGGGAAAUGACUGACUUGAGAGAGCUUGGAGAGCUUAGGGACACACACUGGAGAUGAUAGGAAAGGAAAUAUUGUAGAGAAAAAUCUGUAUAUCCCCUCUUUCUGGGUACCACAGAGUUCUACAGCCUUGUUUGCCUUUCAACUCCAGCAAGUCCAAGGCAGAGUACUCCUUUCCAUGCUCUGGACACAUGUUCAUUUAUGUAAUUAAGAGCAGUGAGGAGGAAUGUGUCUAAGCAUUCUACACACUGGAAGCACUGCUGCUGGGCACUAACUUGCUUAUCUUAUUCCAGUCUUUGGAGUACAAAGGAAGACACAGAGGCCACAUGUCCAAAGCCAGAGUUUGUGUGUGGUGGGAGCAUGGCGUGUGACUCAUGUCCAGGGACAAGAAGCUACGGCAAUUACUUCUGCAGACUCUCAAAGGAAUUCACGUUCCGAGAGGCGAUAAAUACCAGAAGCCGAUGGCUAAUCCACUUGAUUGAAUGAGAAGAAAAGGAAGUCGUUUCCUGUCAAUGCUUCUUUGGAUUCUUGCACAGUUUAAGAAGCACCAUUGAUCUGAUCAUCAGCACUGAAGAGGAAAUGCCCAUUCACUGAAGACACGCAAUGCUCAUCCCAGUUUGACAUGGGCAGCAAGUGGUUCCUUUUGUAGCCCUUUCUGUAAACUGUCCCCUCACAUACAUGUAAACCCCUGCUUCCUUCUUUAAGUAGCUACAUUGGUGGUGCCUCUGUUGUAAGGUUAAAGGGAAGAAUAACUAGAGAGUGGUGGGGAAAGCACUGGGGAAGCUGAUUUGUUUCUGCCUUUGUGGUGAUCUCUCAAAAUAUUUUUGAGAUAUUUUUGUUGAAAAGAUGCAAGCAAUUAUUUUUUUUUAGGAUUGAGGACUUAAAAUUCAUUGUUACUCGGGCUCAUUGGCACAUCAAUCUAAGCAGUUCGAGGUAAUGCUGUUGUGAUUGAGAAACACCACCACUGUAAAGCUUUAGCAGGGAGUCAAGCAGGUUAUGACGACACAGGGCUCAUUACUAAAUGUGAAGUUUUAAGGGAUAAAACUUUACAAUGAAACAAGAAAAAUCUCAAGAAAAAGAUUGGGCUCUAGUAAAAAUAAGCCAUGUCUUAAAAGUGGUUUUCCAUAUUCAACAUUAUUACCCUUCACAUUAAUGCUCAAGCUGGUUCAUAGUCCUCAGAAGUAAGAAUGGACAUUUAUACUUUGUGUAAUAGUAAUAUGUUGCACACACAAGUAAACACUUUUGGUGAUCAACAAAGCUUAUUUUUCUCUUUCAAUUUUAAAAAAGAUUAUUUGUAUUCUGUGUGCAUUGGUAUUUUCCUGAAUGUGUGUGUGUGUGAAGGUGCCAGAUCCCCUGGGACAGGAGCUAUGGACAGUUGAGAGUUGUCACUGGGGGCUGGGAGUUGAAACUGGUUCCUCCGGAAGAGCAGCCAAGUAUUCUUAACCACAGAGCCAUCUCUCUAGCCCCAAUUUUCUCUUUCUUAAUAGCACCAUGUAUGUUUACUUAAAAACUAAAGAUGUUUUUUAAACAAGUAAAGAUGCCAUGGAUUAUAGCAGGGAGGGUUCAUGGUUUCCCUUUCCCUCUAGUCUCCCUCUGCCUUUGUAAUUGCUUCUGAAAAGUCAUGAUGCUUCUUACUUUCUAUAUCAUAAACACCAAACUCAGAGGAUAAAGGGGCCCGGGGAUGUUUAGUUAGCAAAGUACUUGCAGUGUAAGCAUGAGGCCCUGAAUUCAAUUCCCAGGACGUCCCUAAAAAUGUCAGGAAUGAUGGUAGCCUGCACUUGGAAUCCCAAUGCUGAAGCGGGAGAGACAGCUGGAUCCUGUGGCUUGCUGACCCUCCAGUCUAAUGUAUUAGGUGAUCCACUGGUCCAAGUAAGAGGCAUGUCUCAAAUCUAGGUUUCUGAAGACUGAUACCUGUGGUUGACCUCUGGCUUCCACAUAAGUACAGGUACCUAUACAUACAUGUGUACUCACAUAAACAUGCAUAUGCAUGAGCAUAUACUCAACCAGUGCACUUCAAUAGUCCUAUUUAGUUCACUUAAUGCUCUACAGAGAGCAUUGUUGCUAGUGACUCAGUCCUUUUCAGGAACGCCAAGCUACUGAGUGUUCUCUGCAUCAAAUCAGCAGAACAGCAGGGCAUAUGCAUCUAUAAUCUCUUUCUUCCAUUAACAAAAAAAGAAAAGAAAAGUAGCCAACAACCCUCAGAGUCACCUUCAACUGAGCAUCAGAAUUCUUACUGUGCCCAACUGCUAAGAAUUGAAAAUGGAAGUGUGUGUGUGUGUGUGUCUAUGUGUGUGUGUCUAUGUGUGUGUGUCUGUGUGUGUGUGUGCGUGUGUGUGUCACAAUGUAUAGCUAACCUUCCCAAUGGAAAGGAAAGGAACCGAUAAAUCUUACACUGUCCCAUGUUCCAUUCACUCUUCAUUUGUAAAUUGUAUGAGACAUUCUGCGCUAAUCCAUGGCAGGCUUUCCAAGCUGCCUAAUCUUUUUUUCUUAUCACUGUUUAUGUUCCAAGAAGAUCUGGCUCUGUUUGUAUUUAUUGUGAUAAUGAUUUACUAUUCUAAACAAUUACUUUUUACCACUACUAGAAACAAUUCUGUAUAUAAGAGCCUUUUUAUUCCCUCCUCCUCUUCUUCCUCCUCCUUAAAUAAAGGAAUUCGCCUCAACUGUGGUAGACUAGCCCUGGUUUCAGAUUCUUAUUGCAGAUAAUGCCAGCGAGGAAGCAUGGAAACCAUUAUGAAGGAUCUAAACCAUAAACUCAGCUUAUCUCUAUUGAAUUCUCAUGGACCUCUGAGAAUGAAAGGAUCUGUUUGUUAAUGGCUUUUCCAAAUAAAAGCCACCCAAGGGCAUUGAUGUCAUGCAUCAGCAGCAGCACUUGAAAUGUCCAGGCCAUCAGGAAUCACUGGCAUUUCCAUGGCAAGAGAAUGCCUGUACAUUUGCUUUUGCAUAAACAUUAGUGGGUCCUAACAUCUGAAGUCAUUGUUAGCUUUGCAAUGGGUCUUCUUUAGCAACUAAUUCACAAUGUGUUAGAGGCAUUGGGCUCUCCCUAAUUGCUUCUCUCUACAUAUGGAUCAAGUUCUUACUGAAGGGGCAUUACUUUUUAAAAGACCCCUAGGGUCUCCUCGGGUCUUUAAGUCCUUGAUAGAAUGGCUUUGGUCUUCAAUACAUUGUGUAAACUCCUUCAAGUAGGGUGCAUUUCUCAUUCAUUUCUUAGAAGUUAUAUCUCUCUAACAGUGUGACUUCUCUUUUGAAAUUAUGGAAAUUAAAAUCCAGGAAAUCUAGCCAUCCACCCACAAAGGAAUAGAUAAUUAAAGAGCACACUGAAUUCUUCCACUAAUUUGGAAUCUUAAUGUUCUACCAAGAUCCCAGGCAGAUUGCAACUCUACAAUCUCAAGGUCCCCCAAAACAGUGAUAUAGACUGUGGUGGCUAUUCUUGUUUGUCAACUUGACUACAACUGGAAUUAACCAAAAUUUUCAAAUGGGAGACACCUGGUUUUGAAGUGGGAAGAUCUACUUCUAAUCUUGAUCUUUGAGGUGGGAUGACUUACCUUUAAUCUAGAUCUUUUGUGGUGGGAAGACCCACCUUUAAUCUGGGUCAUAUCUUCUGCUGGAAGCUUGCGUAAAGACAUGGAGGAAGGAAGUUUUUGCUUUUUGCCUGCUUGCUUUUACAAGUGCAUUCACUAGCAUUAGAGCCUGCUUCUUCAGGAUUCUAGCACACAUUGAGGAACAACUGAAGCAUUCAGCCUCAUGGACUGAACAACUACUGGACUCUUAGACCUUUCAUUCAUAGGCAACAUUGUUGGACUAGCUUGAGCACAACCUAGAAGCUGUUCUAAUAAAUCUCCUUUCUAUAUAUAGGGAGUUUCAUUCUAAAAGUUGUUACUCUUUGAGAACCUUGACUAAUAAAAAGACCCAGGAGCAUUAAGGGAACUAGGAGGAGAGGUCGGAAUAGGGAACAGAGGGAAAGGAGAGAAGACAAGACAGAAAGUGGCAGAGAAAGAAAGAAGGGUUUAGGUUCAGUUCUGCUCUAUUAUUCCUCUGGCUUGGGAAGUUCCUGUUACUGUCUAUCAUUUCGUCAUUUGUCAAACACAGCCGGGUCAGUGAGGAGCACGUGGCUUACUGCCUGCAGUCUUGCAUCUGGUCUGAAGGGUUCUAAAGUGUGCAUUUUCUACUGUGGCCUAGAAAAAUGCUGUAAUAUGGGUUUUCUUUUUCAAAAACCUUUCCUCUUCAUCUUACUUCUUAAUUUGAGAAUUUCCAGAGUCUCACCCUACACUUUCUGCUCCUCGAUGCCCCUGUCUUCUUCCUGGGUGGUCUCGCCCUUUUCUAGCUCCUAUUUCAAAGUUCCUUUGUCUGAUAUUAAUGCAGCCUCUCAGAGUUGCUGUUUGCAUGGUUCAUCUUCUCCCUUCUUAUUGCUUUCAACCUAGGAGAAUCUUUAUAUCUAAAGUGUGUUUUCUUUAUGCAGCAUAUAGUUAGGUUUUGUUUCAGGUUUUAAUACAGUCUGAUAAUUCCUGCCUUUUGACUAGAUCGGGUAAUUAUUCGUAAUUAAGGUUCAAUUUACUUCUGCCUCUUUGCUUUUGACUUUUCAUUCUUCAAAUGUUGUUCAUAGAUUUUUAUCUUUCUUUUGCUGCCUUCCUUUAUGAGAACUAGAUAUUUUAUAGUAUAAUGUUUUCAUGUCUUUGAUUUAAAAGAUAUGUUUUUAUUAUUUCUUUGAGAAUGUCAUACAUAAAUACAAUAUAAUUUUAAGAUCAUAUUUACCCCCACUUCUACCUCUAACUCUUCCUGAAACUAUUCUUACUCUUCAUUUGCUAUCAAUUUUAAGUCUCUCUUUUUAAAAAAAUACUAGAGAGUCCAGUAUAUGCUGCCUAUAUACUCAUAGGCACACACGUGCAUGGUUAAUACACUAGGGGCCACACCCUUAAAGAAUGUGUAUUCCUCCUUCCCCAGAAGCCACCAACUGUCAACAACUGCUCAUUGAGGGUAAGAAAUUAUGGCACUCUUUCUCUCCACGCUGAAAUGUUGACUGACUUGAUCUUGUGCUGGUCUUGUGCAGACAGCCACAGCUGCUGAGAUUUUGUGAGUGCACUGGCCUUGUCAUAUCCAGAAGACACUGCUUCCCUCUAGUCCUCCUCCACCUCUUGCCAUUACAAGCCUUCUGCUCCCACUUCCAAAAUGAUCCCGAUCUUUGGAGGAGUGGGUGUGAUACGGUGUCCCACUUAUGACAAAACACUCCCCAGAUUCUUGUUCUCUAUACUUUUAUGAUUGGAGGUUUCUAUGUUAACUGAUAUCUACUGCUUAAGGAAAUUUCUAUGGGAUGUAAUAGCUGUACUAAUCUAGGGAUAUAGAGAUGUCAGUUCACCACAGAGCCCAUUUAGAAAAAUAAUAGUAAUAAGAUCACCCACGAAGCUUGUGAGCUCCUCAACCAUGAGUUCUGGCCAGAUAUAUAAUAUCAGGCAUGUAGUUCCUCCUGUGGGGCAGUUCUUAAAUCCAAUCAGAAGGCAGUUGGUUGAUGCCAUAAUAUUUGUGCCACUACUGUGCCCAUGAACAUAGCUUGUUGCACUGCUGUUACUAGAGUAGUUCACAGCUGAGUAAGACUAUUGUUCCAGCAGCCCACAGUGCAUAGCCCCUUCCAGGACUAUGAGAUCCCAGCAGCAGGGAGAAAGCUUCAUGGUCAGUACGAACUUCAUUCCUCCAUGUCCUCCUCCAUAACAGUGUGGUUUCUUCAUCAAUAGCGUCUUAAUAUCAAGUUCUGAUAGGAAACCAAGAGCAAUGCCAAUGGCCUAGAAUGUUUGGGGACAUCACCUGGUACUUGACUUUUAAAAUACUUUUAUUAAUUCCUUGUGAAUUUCAUACAAUGUAUUUUGUAUGAAAAGAUUUAAACCUAGUAUAUAAACACUCUCUCCAUAUUUUGUAAUCUUAAUCCUUUAUAUAUUGCCAUUUACAUGUUACAAACCUCACAUGAAUUCUAGUAAUUACUUUACAUAGUGUACAUAUCGUAUAGAAUCUAGAUUCACAUAAAUUCGUAUUUGCAAAGUAUUACAUUAAUCUUCCCUUUCACCAAGUCUGAUUUGCUCCAUUUCUUUCUGAAGAUUUCAGUUGCUGUCUGGUCUCUUUACUUAACCUGAGUGCUGGGUAUCAUUUUGGUUCAUGUCCUUUAUGCUCCUGUUUUCAAAUGUAUGACAUUUCAGCAUCCUAUAAACCCAAUAGUGGGUGUAUAUAUACAUUGUUUUAUUAUGCAGUUCUUACCAGGAGUACACACUCAAUACUGUUGUCUUUACUAUGUUUUAACUUAGGUGAAAUUCAUACAAUGCUAAACUUAUUAAAGUGGAAAAUUUCAUGGCUUUUAUCUCACUCAUCACAUUGUAUAACCCUCACAUUCUGUAGUUUCUUUGGUUUGAAUUUUUUAUGGCCUCAGAGAAAUUCCACACACCCUCUUCCUCGUCCCUUUGCAAACACAGUCUUUUAAUCUCAAUGGUAUUUCUAUCUUAGAUGAUUUACUUAAAAAUUCAUGCAUUAUGUAACUUAUGUCUGUUUUUCACUAGAGUGUUUUCAAUGUUCAUCCAUAAGUACUCCAUCCCUCUUUAUGGUUAUAUAAUAUUUCACUUUGUGAACAUAACAAAAUAUGCUUAUCUGUUCACCUGUUGAUGGACACAAGCAUUGGUCUUUUUGCCUCCGAGCUAUGAUUAGUAACCGCUGUUACAAACAUUCUUGUAUAAAUUUCUAUGCAAGUAAAGGUUUUCAUUUCCACUGGAUAUAUAACUAGGGGUGAAAAUGCUGGGUUCUAUAUUCAUACAAUGUACAUGAACCAUAUCCAUCCCCCACCAUCUCCCUUCAACUCCCCCAUGUCCUUUCCAUCCCAUUUCUUUUCCAACUUCAUGUACUUUUUAAAACAUUUCUCUUUAAUUAAUAAACCCCUAAAUCUAGUCAAUGCCCGUAUGAAUGUGUAUCUAUUCACUGGGGCACAAACAACCAGCCAGGAGCCAUAUAUACAAAGAAGAGUGACUCUCCUUCCUACAGUAACUAUAGACUGCCAAUAGCUCUUCUGUUAUGGGUGGGGCCUCAGGAUCUCCUCCCCCAACCAUGCUGGAACUUGAACUGGCUUGAUUAUAUUCACAUCUUAUGCAGGCAGUGAAAGUUACUUUGACUUGAUUCAUGCAUGGUCCAUGAAUUUCAUAGCUCUCUCUAUUUUCCUCCUCCUCUUCCUCCUCCUCCUCCUUCUACGAAGAUCCUAGGGCUUUGGAUGAUUUAUGAUUGAUAUAGAUGUCGUAAGUAUUGGUAACUGAGUGCUCAGAGUUAUUUAUAAUUGGCAAUUUGACUAGUUAUGAGUCUCUGUAUUAACCAAUAUUCACUGCAAACACAAGUUUCUAUGAUCAAAAUUGAGAGCAGCUCAAGUCUUCAUAUAUUAACACAGAUAUUUCGAAGGCCGUUUCACAGCAUAAUCAUUUAACAAAACAAUAGUAUGUUCCCUCCAGGGUCUAUGAUCUUCCCGUUCAUGGGCUUUGAGCAUGUUUAUAGUACAGGGUAUGAAAUCCCUCCUACAGAACAUGCAUCAUAACCAAGAAAAAGCAGAUAGUUAACCCUUUACCCAUCAGCCACUCUUACACCAGCAGACACAUUUUGCCAGCAGGUUGAUACUGUAUGUAAUAUGAAUGGUCCAGAGCUGUGUAAGACGCUGUUGACUUUUCUCCCCUAGUAGCCUGCCCUGCACUCUGUGGAAUGAUAUACACUAGUAAGUAGGAUGCAUAUUUUCUGGCUAACUUGAAAUAGAUUUCUUUGUGUCCUAUAUCCAAGAUGAGUGGCAUCUUUAGCAAUAGGCUCUUACCAUCUAGUGUCAACUGCAGUCAGGAACAAUGCCAAGAUCCUGUAUUGUCUGGGGUGCUUCUGACUCAUAGGGAGGUAUCCUGUGCCUGCCACUAAGGUUUGCAUUAAUAAUCCAUGUACUCUGGGAGCAGCAUUGUUCACCAUGCUGAGUACUUUUGUUCAAACUCUUCCUCAACAGCUCCUGCUUCUUUUUUCAAAAUUAACACACACAGAUUAUUCUCUACGUACCAGUGACAAGCACACUGGAAAACAUAUCAGGGAAACAAUCUCAUUUAUAGUAGCCACACCAUCCAUAAAGCAAACAAAAAUAACUCAGGGGACUAAAUGUAACCCAGGAAAUGAAAUGAAAACAUUAGGGCGCUAAAGAAAGAAACUGAAGAAGACACUAGAAGGUGGCUCAUUGAUUAGAAGAAUAAGUAUUGUGGAAGUGGCCAUCCUACUAAAAACAAUCUGAAGAUUCAUCAUAAUCCCAGUCAAGAUUCUGGGGCCAUUUUUCACAAACAUAGAAAAGCAAUCUUGAAGUUUAUGUGACAGCACAAAAAACGAAGGAAAGCCAAAGCAAUCUCAAACAUAAAGAACACUGUGGGAAGAAAAAUACAAUAUUAAAAAGAACAUCUCUCUCUCUCUCUCUCUCUCUCUCUCUCUCUCUCUCUCUCUUUCUCUCUCUCUCUCUCUCUCUCUCUCUCUUUUCACACACACACACACACACACACACACACACACACACACACACACACACACCAAACAGACAAACAAAAAGACAAAAAUGAGCACAUCGAUCAGGGAACUAGAAUAGAAGCCCACACAAAUGCAACUACUUGAUUCUUGACAAAGAAGCCAGAAUACAUGUUGAAGAAAAGAAAUCAUAUUCAUCAAACAAUGCUGGGAAAACUGGAUUUCAAUAUGCAGAAAAAUUACACUGCAGCCUUAUCUCUCAACUCCUAGUCAAUCAAAUAUCUCAGUGUACGACCUGAAACCCUCAACCUGCCAUAAGAUAAAAUAGGGAUAGACUUCAACUCACAGUUUCUUAACAGGACUUCCGCAGCACAGGAAGUAAAAUCAAUGAUCCACACGUGGGGUCGCAUGAAGUUAAAAAAAAAAAAAAAGCUUCUGCACAUUCUCCUCAGGAGAUGAAAAUCCUACUGGCCCAGUUCAUUUAGUCACUCUUCACCCAAAUCCCCCUCCCCAACUCUUCCACAAGUCAAGUUGGCUCUCUAUCUCCAACACACCCAGAAGCUGCUCAUUUCCUUCUAUUUCCAUGUUCCUGACUGAGUCUGAAUUCUUUCUUCUCCUAGAGUGUAAUUCUUCCAGUUCACUGCUGCUUAUCUUCCAACGUGGUCCUCACAUAGCCCAAGGGGGACAUUUAGACACCUUUCUCUGGUGCAGGCUUUCUAGCAUUGCCUGCCUCCCCAGCAAACGACCCCACACCGUUACUGUCUUAUGGCUGCAACAUAUUCCUGUGCAGUAAACACUUUUCUUCUCCCUCUGAUUCUUUCCAUCCCUCCCUCCUCUGCAAUGCUAGCAUCUCUUCUCCUCUUGUUUCACUGCAAAUGCUACUUCCUUCCAGCGUUCUCUGUAGUGUUCUCUCAUUCAGCCCAGUCAUUUCCUCCACAUUUAUUGACAUAAUUUAUUGUUGUUAGAUUUUUUAAAGUAUAGUUUUACCAAAUGGUAAACCCUAAAACUUACGUAAUGUAAGAUUGCCUCAAAUGCAUGGCUAUCCUUCUGUCUUGGUCUUCUGAACACUUGAACACUAGAAUUCCAAUCAUGUUCCCCAUGCCUGGCUUAGUAUGCAAUUGUCAAUUUGCUUAAUGAUUGGGUUUAUGCAUUUCUCCCUGGAUGAUAAACAGGGCAGUAGGAGUCAUAGUGGUUUUCAAUAUUACUCUGUAAUAAACCCCAACAAAUGAUAAAACUUCACAUUCUGCCCUCAGUGAAUCCAUUUAGAAACUGUGCGGAGGUUCAUAUGAAUAUCUGUGUGCAUACACACAAGAAUGCAUACAAUAUACCCACAUGAAUAUAUUCAUAUACAUGCAUAUGUGUAAAGAGGCACAUUAGACAAACACAUCCACUUACUCUUUCACAACUCCCUGGAUUGCACAAAUUUCUCUUGAUUUAAGAGCUGAUAAAAGUAAACUCUAGAGUGCAUACAUGGCUUGCCCGUGGUCAUGCAGUGAGUGCCUGAACAGUCCUGCUGCAGUGCUUAUGCUUUGAAACCCUCCUCGGUGCAGUGCCAAGAACAAAGACGUUGGUCAGUUAAUGCUUCUAGAAUCAAAAACAAACAGAGGAGCAAUGCUGUCCCAGAUCUAUUCUGAGAACGCGGAAAUGCUCUGUGCCGCUCCGCACUGUCCCUAGUCCCCAGUGGCAACUAAGUACUUGAUAUGUGGCACUUAGGAAAUCUCACCGACUAGGUUUUUUAUUUCAUCUCAUUUUAACUAAUAAGUUUAAUAGCAUCUGGCUACUGACUGCCAUAGUAGACAGGGAAGUCCAUGAAGUUUGACAUCCUAUUGCUUUUGAUUCCUCGAUGUUCAUAUACAACCUCCAUGAGCUCAAUUCCAAAGACAGAGCUACACAUCUAUUUCCAUCCCCCACAUCCUGGUUUUUAUCCUGUCUUCUCUACAUCCAGUUUUCUAAACAGUCUUCCUCCUGGCAGUUCACCGUGGCCAGUAGGAUCAAGUUUUUUCUCCUUCGUAUGGCUUUAGCAAAGCCAACCCCUUCCCCCUUCAACAGUGCCCUAAACUAUCUCCUAUAGGGGUUUACAUGGUCAAUGAACACACGAUGUUUCUUUGGGAGAGAAUGCUUGUUAAGGUCCUUAGGGUAAGAGAGACACAAAGGCCAGUGAUCAAGGUCCCUGCCUAAGGAAGAAGUGAAGAUGUUAGCAUGUAACCUAACUCAAAGGGCCUUGGUCAAAAGGUUGGUGUGAUGGGAAGACAGAGCACCUGUGUCUGAAGCUACAUGGCUCCAAACUAGGCUGUAGGAGCAUCUGGUUAGCCAACACCAAUCUCACUCGCACCUCAACCAGAAGAUAGACAAAACCAAGCCUUAGAUAUUUUGACAGAAAGUUACGUUGUCUAAAUGAAGAACACUGUAUUUCUUUGUAGAAGAGAAUUAAGGAACUUAGGAUGUGGUACAGUUGGUAAAAUGCUUGCCAUCCAAGUAUGAGAACCCAAGUUUCUAUCUUUCAAAUGCUAUCUAAAUCGCUGGGGUUGGGUAGUUUGGGGCUGGGUUUAGAAUCCCAACUCUGAGAAUGUGGAGACAGACAGAUGCCUGGGGCUUGCUGGCAGGCCAGUCUAGCCAAUUGGUGAGCUCCAGAUUCAAUGAGAGACUCUUAUAAAAUAAAGUGGAGAAGUGACUGAAGAAGAAAAUUGAUGUUGAUGUCUAGCCUCCACAGGAACGCGCACCCACCCAUUCACCCACACAUGUACACACAUAAAAUAAGAGCAAUGAAGAUAAACAUCAGACAGGUGAGGAGGCUGAGUAAAUGACUCAGUGCAUAAAGCACUUGCUGAGCAGGCAUGAGGACUGAAAUGUGUGUAUUGUUAGCACCCACAUAAAUGCUGGGUGGGUGUGGAACCCUGCUUAGAAGUUCAGCUCUCAGAAGAGGACCCUUGGAGCAAGCUAGGUAGCAAGACUGGCCAUAUCAUGAGCCCCAGGUUCAAUAGAGACCCUGCCUUAGUGAAUAAAGUAGAAAGCAAUGAAACUUCAGGCCACUAAAUACUCACAUAGCAUAGGCAGCCCAGUACAUAUACACUCACACAUGUUUGCAUGCACAACAUUUGGUAAUUUAAAUAUGCUUGGCCCAGGGAGCGGCACUAUUAGGAGGGGAAGCCUUGUUGGAGUAGGUGUGGCUUUAUUGGAGGAAGUGUGUCACUGAGGGGGGUGGGCUUUGAGAUGUUCCUCCUAACUGCUUGGAAGAUAGUCUUCUCCUGUUUGCCUUCAGAACAGGAGGUAGAACUCUCAGCUCCUCCAACACCAUGCCCGCCUGGAGACUGCCAUGAUGUUAACCAACUGAACCUCUGAACCUGUAAGCCAACCCCAAUUAAAUUUGUUCUGAAAGAGUUGCCUUAAUCAUGGGUGUCUCUUCACAGCGUUAAAAAUCCCAAUUAAGACAGAAGUUGGUACCAGGGACUAGAGUAGUGCUAUGAUAGGCCUAACCAUGUUUUUGUUAGGAAGAUGCAGAUUGUGGGACUUUGGAUUUGGGAAUACAGUAGAUGACUUGAUGGGCCAUGCUAGUAGGAAUGUGGAAGACGUUGGUGCUGAGGGUUAUUUGAAUUGUGCAGACCUGGGCCAAGAGGUUUCAGUGGAGAAGAAUUCAGUAUGUGGCCUAGAGAUUGUUUUUAUGGUAGUUUGGUGAAAAAUGUGGCUGCUUUUUGCCCUUGUCUAAAGAGUCAACCUGAAGCUAAGGUAAAGAGAUUUAUAUUAAUUGCAUUUAUUUAUAUAUUAAUUGCAUUAAUUGAGCUCAAGGUUAGUCUACAGAGCAAGUUUCAGGACAGCCAAACUUACAUGUGAAGGAGUUGGAAAAUAGAAAACUGGUGACAAUCUAAUAGAACAAGGGGGCCAUGUUCCAGUCCCAGAAAGCAGCAGAACUCAGCAGCUUCAAUCAUGUAGCCCUGGCUUUAGAGUCUAGAAUAGAAGGGACUACUGGAACAAUUGAUACUGUGACAACUUCUUAGCUCCAACUAAGAAAUGGUGGUGAUUAAGAGGAGAUCAGCAUCAUUGAGGGGAAAUCUUCUGGGAAGUGUUUUUUGAGAGCAUAAAGAAGCUAUGUUUCAGAGACAGCCAAGGUUGUACCUCAUGCUUCAGCUGGACUUGGUAAUAUGUAAGAAAUCACCCAGAUGGUACUGGUUUUGAGAGCAUGAAGGGGUCAUGGAGAGCAGCUGAGGCUGGGCACUGUGAGAGGUCAUUGAAAGCCAUUGGUGAAGGUGCAGCCUUAGUUAUAGUUAAUGACCCAGGACUGAAGGGACCAUGCAAGAAAGUUGAGGCUUGCAACCAUGAAGGAAGCCUAUGAGAAGCUAUUGGUGAAGCCCAGAUUCAGUAGCAGACACCAGCAAAUUUGAGAUGCCAGUAUUAUGGGAUGAUCACCAAGAACAGCAGCAGCAGUGGAAUGGUGUCAACCAGAUCCUAGAGUGCUUAGCUCAGGGAGAGGCACUAUUAGGAGGGGUGGCCCUGUUGGAGUAGGUGUGGCCUUGGAGAAAGUGUGCCACUGUUCGGGGUAGGUUUUGAGACCUUCUUCCUAGCUACCUGGAAGAUAGUUUUCUCCUGUUUGCCUUUGGAACAAGAUAUAGAAUUCUCAGCUCCUCUAACACCAUGCCUGCCUGGAUGCUGCCAUGUUUCUCACCAUGAUGAUAAUGGACUGACCUUCAGAACACGCAAACUAGCCCCAAUUAAAUGUUUUCCUUUAGAAGAGUUGCCUUGGUCAUGGUGUCUCUUCACAGCUAUGAAACUUCUAAGACACACCACAAACAGACAAACACCAAGAAAAUCUCAGACUGAGGAAGGGGAUGGCAAGUACAGCCCUAUGUUCAACACUCUGCACCCUGAGCAACACAGCAAGAGCAGCAACAGCAGACACAGACCGAAGUCCAAAUUCCAGAGGCAAGGAAGAUGCAGCCAUGGAUGUGGAUCAGUCCUUAUGGGUUCAGAGCUCGUAUUGUGGACAGUGGCCACUGACUGGGGCAGUAAGUAAGUCUUUGUUUCCUCCCACAGCUCGCAUACUUGGAAUCUCACUGGCUUUGUACGUAGGCUAGAGCAAAAUGGCGCUGUUUGUUUGGAUUUUGCUUUUUCUGUGGAAUAUCUACCAGGAAGCAAUGUGCUUUUGUGUGUCAAAGAUCAGAAAGGACCCACUUCCUCUUCUCCAAUGGGUUUGGGCAGGAAUCAACUGCUCCAUUCAUUCCCGCUGCUCUUCACUUCCCAGCUGAGUGCUACAUGUUUGAAUGCUACAGAGAAGCAGUAUUUCCACCCCCCACAAAGAAGUCUCUUUUACAGCACCAUGCCUGUAAAAGUGAGGUUUCCCCUGGGUCAUUCAUAUGAGAGGAAGUCAUGGGAGAGCACAGAAGCACCCAGGUGAUGCCCAAGAGCCCAGAUACCACAGUAUCGUUACCUCAGAAGACUUGGUGUAAUGUUCCCCCUCCCCAAACUUCCUUAAAUUUACUCACAAAUUUCAAUAAAUUAAGUCGUUAGACACAAAACCAAAUUGAGAUUUUAUUGUGAUAGCUAAGAUGUUCCUUACGGAUUAAACAAUAAAUCAGAAAGUGGGAAAAUAUUCCGAAUUAAAAACCGAAAAAAGAAAAACUAAACAAAUGAUCCCCAUUGCAUCCUAGACAGAUGAAAAUCUCUCUUGAAGAAAUUAACUCCCUGCAUGUGACUUACCUCCUCAGCCUUCUAAUGCAUAUUCUAAGAUUGCCAGUUCCAUGAUGAGAGCCUUCAGCCUACUUGGCCAAACAACAUAGUUAUUUUCAUAAAUAUUUUUUCUUCAGACAGGCUCCUCAUGAUUCAAGCUUGUUUCCAGAUAAGAAGUCAUGGUGCAAGCAGUUCUAAGAUCAAAGCCUUUCCUCAUGCACAUUCAUAUCUUAGCAGAUAAACACAAAAGCGACAAGCUGGGAGAGCCCCACUCAGUGUUCAGAACCUUACCUAACCUCUCAUAAAAUGCUCACCUUGCCUAUGACUGGCUGGGGGGCGGGGGGGAGGCGAUGAAUACAGAACUGCUUUCAUGAAAUACAGGAGCUUCAUCGUAAGCCCCGGGACACAUAAGAUGGCUGGGUUUUCCCAGUCACACACUUGUGAUCAUGGAAGGGAAAACAGUCAUCAUGAAUCACUGUUUCACUAUAAAAGGGGCUUCACAAUUUCUCUUUUGCAAAUUAACCAAGUCUGUGUUAACCAUUACAACAGUGACAUCAAAAAUAUCUGAGAAAAGACAUCAGUGGACAUCUUGGCUAUGAUGUGGUACCUCUGAGGAGCUGAUCCCACCUCCAAUCGCCUCUCCAUAGUAAUCUCCCACCCUCUCAUAUCCAGGUUCCAGCAGCAAAACAAAAGCCCUCCAUCAGCCUUGGAACUGGGCCAUUACACAUGGCUGUGUGCUAGGCAGUGAGCCCUGCUCUCACAGACUUAAAACUCUUGAUCGUAUAUCUACUGAGAAGCCCCACCGUUUAAUUUUUCUGUGAGAGUCACCAACUGCAGUGAGAUUUGCGUAGCUUAUAAAUCAGAACUAAGAUGGAGUUUUGAAAGUUAAUUCAGUCCAACUGCUGACUAGUUUAAAGAAAACUCCUGGAAGUGAGCAGUAGAAUAUGUUAUCCAGUCCCACAUUACUAUUUUUUUUUAAAUCACAUCUUAUUCUAACUCCUGUGUGAGGGAGGAUGUAAGCCUCCCCCGAGCCCCCCGAUUCCAAACUACUAAUUUCCAUGGUUACAGUUUCAAACCUCAUGAGUGAUAGGCAUGUAUUUCCCAGUCUCCUAUUUGUUUCCUGAUUCUACAUGAUUAACUCCACAAAACUAGCUGGGUGCAUGGCAAUGAGUAGUUGGUCCCUGUUCACACAGUUACAUUAGUUAUAUGGUUGAAGAUACUUCAGCCGUAUUGCUGCUGCACUCUGUAGCAGAAACUAGUGGUUUAGCUAAGUCAGCCAUUGUGUCUUCCUCCUGAGCUCUCCCAGUGAAGCCUAGAAGCUGGGAACUCCUCCUUCCCCUCCUUCUUUGAAGGAAGGUCUACGUCAUGGAGUGACACAAUUAUAACCAAGGUGAUGUGAAGUCUUCUAGGAAACUUUGGAUAAAAUUGUUUCCUUCAUUGAUUAAAGAGAGAGUGCCGUCAUAAGAAAGAUAGUUUCCACCAGCAUUCUCUUGCCUACUUUCUACCUUGACGUCAUUUGGAGUAACAGCAGCCAUGUUGUGAUAAUGGAGACAAUGAGUGCAUGGGACAUUAUCAACUAACAAACACAGUACACAUAAAGGACCUUGGGAGACCAGGGAGCACCCAAGCCAAUGCUGGAAAGGACCUGAUUGUGCACGGUUUCAGUACCUGUUAGGUGACAUUUGUUAAAAUUUGCAACUAGCGUUGCUCUCAAAGAAAUAUAUUGUCUUAUAAAUAUUAUACCCUUUGGUGUAGCGCAUACCUUCCAUAAGCAGCUGCUGGGAGAUCACUUUACUGGCUUGCAAAGUACUUCUGACAACCCCCAUCCCCAAUGUUGCUCCACCUUCCCUCUACUUCACAAAGCCUGACAUGCGUGUUGCCAGAGAAUGCAGUCGGAAUGAAUGCCCGCCUGCAUCUCACAUGCAGCUCAGACCUCUUGGGAAAUAUGUAGGAUGGAUGAAAAACACAGCACUGUCACUGUCCUCAGCAGCACACAUCUUACUCCAAUUCUUUUCCUUUUGCAAUUGAAUUUUAAUAUGAAACACCAUCAUGGGAAGCUUUAAUAGGACUUAGAAAACAGAACAUCGAAUUACUAAGCAAGGUGUGAUGAUCCACAGCUGUGAGUCUCAGUUGUCAUAGGCAGAGAUAGGAAGAACACGAGUCAAGUCAGAGCCUAGGCUGGGCUAGCAGUAAAUCUCUCUCUCUCUCUCUCUCUCUCUCUCUCUCUCUCUCUCUCUCUCUCUCUCUCUCCCCCUCUCUCUCUCUCUCUCUCUCUCUCUCUGUCUCUCUUUGUCUUUGUCUGUCUCUCUCUCUGCCUCUCUCUCUGUCUUUCUCUGUCUCUCUGUCUCUCUCUGUCUCUCUGUCUCUCUCUGUCUCUCUCUCACUGUGUGUGUGAAUGCAGGAAAUAAUAUUGUUUGGUUACUAAUACCUGGCAUAUUAGGAGCUAGAGAAAUGGCUCAGUCAGUAGAGUUCUUGUUUAAUAUACAGGAGGACCUGAAUCCAGAUCCCCAUAUACCACAUGAAAAAGCAUGGCAUACACUUGUAAUGUCAGUGCCUGCAGAGGUAGAGACAGACAGAUCCCUGGGGCUUUCUGUCCAACUAGCCUACUUAAAUUGACGGACUCCAGCCCAGUGAAAUACUCUACCCCUGACCCUGAAAAGGUGGCUGGCAUCUGAGGAAUAACACCUGAGGCUAACCUCUGUCCUCUAUACUCAUGCUCACAUGCAUGCACUGCACAUUUUAUACACACAAAUUAACAUGCAUGCACAUGUACACACAUACACACAAACUAACAUGCAUGCACAUGCAUGUGCAUGCAUAUACACACAAAUUAACUGGAUUUUAAGAGGGUGUGAUUGGACUCAGCUAGAAGAUGACAGAAUCUAGUUGGUUGUCAUAGCACAAGACAUCAAAGGCAAAAGUUGCAGCUUGGUGGGUUCAAGUCACAGCUCCACCACUGGAUUUGUAGAUUCUCAACAGUAAGUUACCUCUAUGAGCCUUGUUCUUUCCUGUAAGGUGAGGGUAGUUUCUAAUUCAUGAAGCUGUGUGUGGGUCGGAGAAAGGAGCCUGUCAGAAAAGACAUGUCAGAAAGCAUCCACCGGUUUUAGGUAUCGUUGCCUUUCAUCUCUAUCUGGUACUAUCUGGAAGUUGUCUUUCAAAAAUUUUCAGUGUAUCACACACAUCUAAUUUCUGGCACUGCAAAGGGCUUCAAUACUUAAUGAGAAAAUUAAAAAUAUCUGUUAGGUAGCCAAAAUAUCUGAUAUUUUUAGAAUCCUGGGUCCAGAUAUCAAUGGCCUAAGGGUUCUGUACAGUUCUGUUCUUACAGAUAGACUCAUAGUACCUUAGCUUUUCUUUUUAAACAACAAAAAAAGUGGAAAUAAUAAUAGUAUUGUUCCUUCCAAGGAUUAGAGCUAUUUGCUGUUCUAUUUGCUGUCUGACAGAUAAUGAAUGAUGCAAAAUUAUUGCACUUUUUAAAGGUGGUGGUGACACAUGCCUUUAAUCACAUGGCAGAGGCAGGUGGAUCUCUGUGAGUUCAAGGCCAACCUGGUCUACAGAGCAUAUUCCAGGAUAGACAAGGCUGUAGCAGAAAAACCCUGUCUCAAAAACCAAAAAAAUAAAGUUUUUAUUUCAUUUAUUACUAUUUUGAAAUAUAUAACCGUCUCUGUGUGCAUAUGCACAAGUGUAUGGGUGCCUGCAGAGGCCAGAACGAGGCAUCAGAUCACAUGGCACUGAAGUUACAGGCUUUUCUGAGCACCUGACAUGAGUACUGGGAUCUGAACUGAGUCUCCUGCAAGGGCCGAAAAUGCUUUUAAUUUCUGAGUCAUCUAUUCAGCCUUCAUUGUCGUUUCUUUACAACCAGCCCUCCAGGAAGGCUAAUUCACUGUAUUAAAUAAAUAUAUAUAUUGUAUAUACUGUUUGUCUCCUUUCUAAAUCCUCAGAUCCUCAUCUAAACACUGGACAAAUGGAAUUCUUCCUUUUGCCUCACCAUGAGCAUUAAUAUGCUAAGGUGUUGGGUUUUUUUUGUUGUUGUUGUUGUUGUUGUUAUUGUUUUUGUUUUCUUUACAUCACAUACAUGUUAAUUCUCCCUGAAUAAAGUAAACUAUUGCUC
Rattus norvegicus (Norway rat) is the source of this 19087-nucleotide non-coding RNA. The record is from RefSeq and is a predicted model, not a curated record. NCBI's taxonomy places the organism in Eukaryota, Metazoa, Chordata, Mammalia, Rodentia, Muridae.